RNAcentral lists this long non-coding RNA (2153 nucleotides) under Heterocephalus glaber (naked mole-rat). RNAcentral's name for it is "lncRNA (ENSHGLG00100043634.1)". Lineage: Eukaryota; Metazoa; Chordata; Mammalia; Rodentia; Bathyergidae. The record is from RNAcentral.
GUUUGCUCUUUUUAUAACAACUCAUUCUCCUGAGAACUAAUCUACUCCUGUCAAACUGGACCCACAUCCACAAGACAACAUUAAUCCACUCAUGAGAGUGGAGCUCCUGUGACCUAAUCUCCUUCUGCAAGGUCCCACCUUUUAAAGGUCUCAUCACUUCUCCACACUGCUACACUGGGGACCAAACCUCCUACGUGUGAUGUUCUAGGAACAAACCAUACCCAGCACUGGACUAGGAUGCAAAACUGAAAAUAGUCUAGAUUACCCCAGUGGGGAGCUUGAGGCCAAAGACUACCCAUUGCUUGGGUCCUGCACGGGACCAAUUCAUCCCCAGUAUCCCUGGAGAGCAUCACCAAGCUCAAAUGCUGCCCCGAGUCCCAGAGGUGCAGCAGCUGGAGGCUGUCAGCUCACCAGACUCCUGGUGGCUGAACAAUAUGUCCUUUCUUAGAGAGAGAACUACACGGUGCACCUCUAGCCAACCUUUGGAUGUAGUCCGAGUCAUGAUGUCUUUCUAGUGGCUGGAGAGCCUCAAGAGGGCCUGUGUGGUCAUAGAGGGAAAGGAAGGAGAGAGCCACUACAUUACCUUCUAGAGUGGGAAGUCAGUAAGUCUGGGACCUGAAACCCUAAGAAACACCAAGAAGAGCUAGGUACAGUCACAUGUCACUUGGUAACAGGGACACGUUACAACUAAAGCAUUAUUAGGCAAUUACAAUGCUGUGUGAACAUCAUGGAAUGACCUUAUAAAGCCCAGAUGGUACUGCCUGGUACUCACCUUGGAAACGAGGGUCAGCUCACAGACCUGGACAGCUCCUUACUACACUGAACACUAGGCAACUGAAACAUAAUGUAAGUAUUUGUGUACUUAAACACAUCUAAGCACAAAAAAAACUGCAGUAAAAAUUCUAGGCAACAGGACAUUUUCAGCUCCACAACAAUUGGAUGGGGCAUUGGAUGGAGCCACCAUCUACAUGGUGCUCCCUCACUGGUCCAGAUGGCGUUCUGCAGUGCCUGACUGUGUGUAGAGAUAAGAAGAUAAUCUACAAAAGAACCAGCUACAAAGUUCUGAAAGCAGUUUUCUCUGGGGAAGGGCCAGUUCGGGGAAGGGAACAGAGAGGUCCCAAGAGCUCCUGGGUGCUCCCAGGGAAGUGGUCACCAUCCAGACCUUAGCCUCGAUGCAAGGCAGAGCAGCCCUGGAGAGCCCAGUGUUGCCUUUAACUGAUGCGGCCUCUGAUCCCUACCACCCAGCCAUGUCUGCCACCUCUCAAUGCCACAGCCAGGACCUCGAACAUCACCACUGAGCAGAAGAGGCCUGAGUGGACCAGGGCAUAAGCCCCUAGCAACUGCACACCUCCUCUGUCCUGGGACAGUCCCAGGCUACUGAGCCUGAAUCCUAGCCUGGUUGUUAACAUCCUUGGCAAGUGCUGCAAAGGGCUAGAGUAUCCAUAUUUCAGCAUGUGCAGGCCACACUGGCUCUGCCAUGAUUGCCUAGCAUGCCCUGACUGUGGAAAGUUGGCCGCAGACAGUAUGGUCAGCCCUCUGCAUCUGUAUCCCUGAGUUUUGCAACCAACUUGGUAUCAAAAAAAAAAUUUUUUUUUUUGGCCAAGGAUUUAGCUCAGUGACACUGUGCCUGCCUUGCAAGUACAAGGAUCCAAGUUUGAUUCCCCAGUACCAAAAAAAAAAAAUUUAAGUCAAUGCAGUGGUACAUACCUGUAAUUCCAACUAUUGGGGGUGCUGAGGCAGGAGGAUCAUGAGUUCAAGGCCAGCCUGGACAACUUAGCAAGACACUGUCUCAAAACAAAAAAAAAAAAGGGCUGGGAUGUAGCUCAGUGGUCGAGCCCUUGCCUAGCAGUCAUGAGACCCCAGGUUCGUCAUCCCAGCACCAAAACCAAACAAAAUCUGGUAAAACAAAUCCACGAGAAUAAAAUAUAUAGCAGUUGUAUUACGCAUUGAAAGUAACCUAUAGAUGAUUUUAAAUAUACAGGAGGAAGUACAUAGGUUAUAUGCAAAUACUGCACCAUUUAUGGGAUUUGAGGAUCCUCAGAUUUUGGUGUCCAGAUGGUCCUGAAACCAAUUCCCUGAGGGUACUGAUGGGCAGCUAUACACAGAUGAAUGUGUGGCCAUGUGCCAAUGAAAUUUUAUUCACAAAAACAGAC